Molecule: non-coding RNA, 471 nt
Organism: Paramuricea clavata
Lineage: Eukaryota; Metazoa; Cnidaria; Anthozoa; Malacalcyonacea; Plexauridae
Source: the annotation of a GenBank genome assembly
CAAGGCAUUCGUAUAAAUUGGCACACAUAUAUCCUUUCCCGCACUUUUCUUAUACAUUUUUGUUUAUAUAUACCAUGCAUGUAGUAUUUAAUGAUACCCAUAAACGUAAAAUUUCAAGCAUAUAUAAUUGCUGGCAUAUUUGUAACUUACUCUCUAUCCAAAAGAGAGCCAUAUUUGAAACAGUAAACAGUUUUGUAUGUUUUUAACGGGACUAGCUAACAGUCGUGGGUCGUGGGUCGUGGGUAGAAUGUCGUGGGUCGUGGGUAAAAUGUCGUGGGUCGUGGGUAAAAAGGCGUGGGUCGUGGGUAAAAAGGCGUGGGUCGUGGGUAAAAAGGCGUGGGUCGUGGGUAAAAAGGCGUGGGUCCCUGAAAAAAUUUCCGUAUAUCCCGAAUGUACGUAGAGUCCCAUUUAGGGUUGUUGAUAUCAGGGCCGCCGAGAACUUGGCGGGGGCCCGGGACAAAUGUUUUUCAG